GACGCCAGAGAGACUGAGGCAAAAGGCGCCUACGACUUCCGUAAUACCCUGCGGCUGCUUUAGCCUGAUGCCUCCUGGGAGUUGUAGUUUUCUUUGGAAACCGUCUCUUCUGGAAGCCUGACGGGAGAGUCAUCGUGGGUCGUCACAAGCCUAUCCUAAAGUCAGCGCUUGCUAGGAAAAGCAUUAUUUAGGAACAAAUUGUGAAAAGAAGGGAAGAAGAAGAAAGGAGAGGGAUGGAGAACAAGGGGAGAGGCUCCCAUCAUGCUCUGCUAUAAGAGAGCUUUUAGGCUUUCCAUGCAAUGAAAAAUUAUCUGUUGUUCAUCUUUAAUGGAAAGAGACUCAGUAGUGUUGAGUGACCAGGGGUGGAGGGGUGGAGGGGAAGGGCAAAGGAGGAUAACUAGAGCCUGAGCUAGUGAAGAAGAGGAGUCAACCCACCCAUAGAAAACUUUCCGAAGGUUACACAUGAGAUUAAUAUUGAGUAAAUUAAUUAGGGAAGAAGACAGGAAGAAUUAUCUUCCAUCCUCUCUCCUCCACAGGCCGCAUUCUCAGCUCCAACCCCCAAACGGAUAUUCAGAUGGGCUCUCUUAUGAUCCAGGAUCAUAGUGAACUCUGCUUUCCCGAAAAAGAAUGAACGGGACCGGUGCGGGGGCGGGGAGAUGGGUUCGAAAAAGAUAAAGUCCAUGUAUCCUCGUGUCUGGUCUACAAACUUGAAAGGGCUGAGUUGACUUCUGCCUCUGUAGUUGGUUGAAACUUAUUUUUCAGCUUUCUUUUACUUAGGGACUUGGUAUGUAUAUCUAUCUAUCUAUCUAUCCACCCCCUCUCGAGCUGCACGAAUGUACAUAUGUAAUUUAUGCCAAGGCAGUGGACUCAGGAAAUCUGGAUCCAUAGGGUUCACAGUAAAUGGAAUGCUUUUCCUCAAAGCAUCCUUGCACUCCUUGGACCCCUUUGCUCCUUGCAACUACCCAAGGUUGUGCAGGUGCUGAGCACCAGGGGGCACCAGACAGAGUAGAAAACCAGACUUGUGAGUCAGAUGGCAGUUGAAGUUUUAGCCCAGCCGGUAAGAGCGGGAAGCGCUUAAACGUACGCAACCGCAUCAGAGCGUGGAUGCGCUGCAGCUUCUCGUCAGCGCCCGCUAUGGAGCGAGCUCAGAAACGCACAGGUAGCUGCGGACUACGCUGAGAAAGUAGUUUCGAAGCAGCUAGAUAGAAAAUUCGUUAGCACAAUUUAUCUAGAUGAUCUCCACUCGGAGGAUUGUUGCUGUACAAUUCAUAUUAUUCAGCAAAGUAUAUAAAAAAUGUUCUGCUAUUUUUUCUUUUUGGUUUUCCAAAAACUAUACUUUCAGGUUUACAAAAAAAGUUUGUUUUAAAACAAUGGUUGGUAGCUUUCAUGAAGAUGCUGGUUAUGGUCAUUUUACAAUGCAAAUUCAGUAGAGACAACCAGAGUACAAAAAUAUGUGAGUUACCAUUUUAGAAACUAAAUCUUUCAUUUGAUAUGCUAAUGGUAAGUCUAUUAUGUAGUUAAUGGUUAUCCCCAAUGAUAACCUAAUAUAAGCAAGGGAAGAAAUGACUGUCUAGUAAGCUUGUUGUACUUCUUGAAGCUGCUUCUUAGAACUUGCUCAAUAGUUGCUUUAAUGGGAAAAAGUCAGCUUAUAAUAUAAGGCAACUAAUUAUAAACUGGUGAGUUAAAAGGAGAUCAGUUAAUCACAAUGUUCACUUUUUGCCUCCAUUAAAAAAAAUAGGAUGUUUCUGUGUAAGUGGUUAUUAAAAGAUUUUAUUGCCUAUUCCUGUUUACUGAGCCCUGAAACUUUGGUCACACUGCAUUAAACACAAGUCCCUUAACAAUCACCAUGCCCCAUCAACAUGACUUUUCAACCAGGAACACCUAAAUUUAUUGUAAAUAAUUGAAUUAACUGUUGAUUUAAAACCACAUUUGCCCACAUG
This 1940-nucleotide long non-coding RNA is filed under the name Marmota monax (woodchuck). Lineage: Eukaryota; Metazoa; Chordata; Mammalia; Rodentia; Sciuridae. The record is from RNAcentral.